GGGCGUAUGGUCUAGCGGUAUGACAUCUUCUUAGCAUUCAUCUGCUUUCCUGGAUGUAUCUAAGUUGGAGAAGGUUCCCGGUUCGACUCCGGGUUCGUCCA
Baudoinia panamericana UAMH 10762 is the source of this 101-nucleotide non-coding RNA. The record is from the annotation of a RefSeq genome assembly. NCBI's taxonomy places the organism in Eukaryota, Fungi, Ascomycota, Dothideomycetes, Mycosphaerellales, Teratosphaeriaceae.